Molecule: ribosomal RNA, 494 nt
Filed under: uncultured bacterium
Lineage: Bacteria
Description: partial 16S ribosomal RNA
Rfam family: Bacterial small subunit ribosomal RNA
Source: RNAcentral
GACGAACGCUGGCGGCGUGCUUAACACAUGCAAGUCGAACGGAAAGGCCUGCUUUCCCUUGUGGAUUGCGGGUACUCGAGUGGCGAACGGGUGAGUAACACGUGAGUGAUCUGCCCCCAACUUGGGUAUAAGCCUGGGAAACUGGGUCUAAUUCCCGAUAGGACUGCAGGGUGGUGCCUGUGGUGGAAAACGAUUUUCUAGUGGUUGGGGAUGAGCUCGCGGCCUACCAGCUUGUUGGUGGGGUAAUGGCCUACCAAGGCGGCGACGGGUAGCCGGCCUGGGAGGGUGGACGGCCACAUUGGGACUGAGAUACGGCCCAGACUCCUACGGGAGGCAGCAGUGGGGAAUAUUGUACAAUGGGCGGAAGCCUGAUGCAGCGACGCCGCGUGGGGGAUGACGGCCUUCGGGUUGUAAACUCCUUUCGACCGCGAGGAAGCCACCUGGUUGGAAGGGUGGUGACGGUAGUGGUAGAAGAAGCACCGGCUAACUACGUG